This is a long non-coding RNA of Lathyrus oleraceus (garden pea), 664 nucleotides long. RefSeq lists it as uncharacterized. The record is from RefSeq and is a predicted model, not a curated record. The transcript is spliced from 2 exons. Lineage: Eukaryota; Viridiplantae; Streptophyta; Magnoliopsida; Fabales; Fabaceae.
AAUCUCGGAACUAAGUGCAAACGCAAACCUCUCUCCUCUCUCAGUCCAUUUAUGUCUUGCUCCCUCCGUCGUGCCGAAGGCCUCUCUGACGGCGGAGGCACUCAUAAAUCCAAAACAAGAAGAAUGUUUGAACCGAAAUCAUGCGCUGAAACCAAAAAUGCAAACGGAUUCUUCUAAUUCUUCAAGAACCAUGCAAGUCGAAGAUAAAAAUGGAAGAACCCUAAGUAAUCAAAGCCAAAUUAAGUAGCGCACGUUCACGGAUUCACAUUCAAACCAUGGGGCUAAUGACGCCAAGUGUUUCUUCUACACAAUGGUAACUAUUUCAUAGCAAAUAGGAGUGAAACACAAUUUACCUCCGAAACAGAGAACUGUUUUGAUGAAUGUUGAAACGGAGAAGACGGAGGCGCAGCGGAAAAUCACUUGAAACACAGGUGUAAUGUUGUGAAAGGAUAUGCGUGUUGGAGCUUGGUUUGGAUGCAUUGCAGGUGCAAGGUAAUGUUCGUGGUCUGCCAAAAGAAAUUCUGCAGGAUGCUAUGCAGAGAGUUUCACUUGUAACACCUUAAAUUUUUCCCGAGUAAAUUUAAAACAUUUAUUAGAGUAAAAAAAACAGCAUGCAAUGUAGGAUGCUACACUAAAACAUACAAUCAACCUACUAAGUUAUAAA